CCUACGGGUGGCAGCAGUGGGGGAUAUUGCACAAUGGGGGAAACCCUGAUGCAGCGACGCCGCGUGAGUGAAGAAGUAUUUCGGUAUGUAAAGCUCUAUCAGCAGGGAAGAAAAUGACAGUACCUGACCAAGAAGCCCCGGCUAACUACGUGCCAGCAGCCGCGGUAAUACGUAGGGGGCAAGCGUUAUCCGGAUUUACUGGGUGUAAAGGGAGCGUAGACGGUGAUGUAAGUCUGGAGUGAAAGGCCGGGGCCCAACCCCGGGACUGCUUUGGAAACUGUGUAACUGGAGUGCAGGAGGGGCAGGCGGAAUUCCUGGUGUAGCGGUGAAAUGCGUAGAUAUCAGGAGGAACACCAGCGGCGAAGGCGGCUUGCUGGACUGUAACUGACGUUGAGGCUCGAAAGCGUGGGGAGCAAACAGGAUUAGAUACCCUGGUAGUC
RNAcentral lists this ribosomal RNA (440 nucleotides) under uncultured bacterium. RNAcentral describes it as "partial 16S ribosomal RNA". It matches the Rfam family "Bacterial small subunit ribosomal RNA", at positions 338 to 795 of the family's 1533-position model. The record is from RNAcentral.